CCGGAAUGAGUGAGCCUCUGGUGUUCCAGUUGUUCACCACGAGCAAGCUGGGUAGCUAAGCUCAUUAGAGAUAACCGCUGAAAGCAUCUAAGUGGGAAACUCGCUUCAAGAUUAGAUACCCCGUGUAGCGCAAGCUACACAUUAAGAUCCCUCGAAGACUACGAGGUUGAUAGGCUGGGUGUGUAAGUACAGUAAUGUAUUCAGCUAACCAGUACUAAUAGAUCGAAUGUUUUAC
This 235-nucleotide ribosomal RNA is filed under the name Candidatus Babelota bacterium. RNAcentral's name for it is "partial 23S ribosomal RNA". It matches the Rfam family "Bacterial large subunit ribosomal RNA", at positions 2692 to 2925 of the family's 2925-position model. The record is from RNAcentral.